AUUUAAAUAGUUUAUAUAAAAAUAUUAAUCUGUGAAAUUAAAGAAAAAGAAAUUUUUUAAAUC
This 63-nucleotide transfer RNA is filed under the name Neomaskellia andropogonis. RNAcentral's name for it is "tRNA-His". Lineage: Eukaryota; Metazoa; Arthropoda; Insecta; Hemiptera; Aleyrodidae. The record is from RNAcentral.